GAAAUAGGAAAAUCAAGAGUAAGCUUCUAACUUAACUCUUAAGCAGUGAAAAUCUGUUUAUAUUUCU
This 67-nucleotide transfer RNA is filed under the name Phycosecis limbata. RNAcentral describes it as "tRNA-Ser". Lineage: Eukaryota; Metazoa; Arthropoda; Insecta; Coleoptera; Phycosecidae. The record is from RNAcentral.